Molecule: long non-coding RNA, 4330 nt
Organism: Cephus cinctus (wheat stem sawfly)
Lineage: Eukaryota; Metazoa; Arthropoda; Insecta; Hymenoptera; Cephidae
Exons: 6
Source: RefSeq, a predicted model, not a curated record
UUAAAGGCAAGCAGGUACAGCCGAGGUAGCAAAUGGACGAAGUGGAGAACCGCACCCACGGAGAACUAGCCGGGAAUUUCCAACGGUUGGUAACACUGCCUGCUCUUUCCAGGAGACUGACGCCGCCGUUCAAUACACCACUACGUCACUGGACAUACUUUGCGAUGCUACGACUUUGUCCUAUUUUAUCCAGUUGUUUUAUAACUAUUUUUUUCUCCACAAAAUAUCACGGAUAGUUCUCAAAUUCCGUGCGGUAUGGAAUGACACAGAUUCUGAUAAGAAGUCACGUUCCUGUUACGCAAUGCGAAUCAUCGAUUCCUCGUGCGAGAAAAAUGUCUUUCAGCAUAUCAUUUUCUUUAACUUCACUGCGAACACUUUGAUGCCCGUCAAGAGGGAUGCUGGGUCUGACUCGGCAGGGGGUUCUUGUCUCUUGCGAGGCGUUGAAAUGCGUGGGUUUGUUAGGGUGGUUUUGGACGGAGAUACUUUUUGUUUAUCAUUUGUCACGCUGUUGUUUACGUCAACGAGGAGUCAGGUUAGUCUCUUCUUUCCUUUUCACUAUCAGAUACUUCUUCUCUACUCUGAAGUUUCCAGCUGAUUUGUUGCUCUUGAAGAACAAAAUUGCAUGGAAUCUCGAAGGGUUGUCAGACGGAUUUAAAUCACCCUUGUCACUUGGAAAUUUGCAAACAGUACACAAAGCCACCAGUAUUUCGUGUUUCGGUGUUCAUCCGUCAGAGGCGGUAAAUUUAAAUAGCAAGUCCCGAUACCACGAAAAAUUCUUAAUAAACGCAUGAUGAAUCAUCUGCGAUUCGUAAAAACUAAGAGACAAUAACGUCGUGAAAUGCGCGACGUGGGAUAAAAAGAUAGAAAAAGAGAAUCUGAGGACAGAUGCGAAGAAGAGGGACAAGAAAAUAAAAAAAAUAAGUCACGUUAUGAAUGAUCCUACCAUCUAGAGAGUCUGAAGGAUGCUUGAAAAGUAAAGUAAAUCCAAGAAGGAUGAGCGAUGCUCUUUAUUAUCUAAGGGCGCUGAUACUGGACUCAAGUCAAUGCACUUAUGACUAAGUUAUUAUUAAAUAUUUAAAAUGAUCAAUGAUCAACGACGCAAUGAUUUCUAGCAUUGAAAUCAGACACGAGCCGCCUGUCAAAGGGACAAAAAGCCAGUGAAGGGGUUGGCGGGGGGUACGAAAUGAAUGAUGUCGAGAUUCUCUCUGUAUUGGAGCAGGCUUGCUGGCGCCUGUAAGGCAGGCAGCCAGGCGGGCGCCGUUUUCCUGAGAGGAUCUAACGUUAGUCAGAGAGAGCAAGGCUAUCUGGUUUCGUCCUGCGCAAAAGGACAGAGAUGUAAAAGCGAUGAAGAGGAAGGUGGUGGUAAAGUCGUAGUACGAGUAAGAAAGAGAGGUCGAGCUGGUUUAUCCCAAGCCAUAAACGGGAGGAAGCGAGAGACAGAGAUAAAUAGAGUGCUACUACGUGGACAGAAGAGAGAUGGAAAGAAAGGAAAAUAUACCUCAUUGGCUCGCAGCCUCUGAAAAUCCUCUGAGGUAACAGAUUGGAAGACGAGAGAAUGUCCUGUGCCAAGGAAAAGCCUCCCAGCGACCUCCUGAUGAAGACGUUAAUUUUUUUUAAGUAUUUUUUUUUAUCUAUUCUCGACACAACUGUUAUGUCCUUUAGUUGAACUUUCAUUACGGUACACUUUCAGUCUCGAGAAACAGACGAAAGAAUCGGAAGGAUAUCGAUCAGUGGAGGAUGACGAAAGUGCAGACGUCUUGGGGAGAGUGGCCAUACUUGUUUGGUCUACCGCGAAGUAUGGUGUUAUUUUUCUAGGGGGUUACUGAAAAACAUCGGAGAGCAGACAGAACUCGUUUCUUUUUUAUCCGUAAAAGAAGGCAUUGUCGUCAGUGUGUUUAUGUCGGACACACAUAGCCAUACGUAAGACACACGCAAACACUGGUACGACGGAAGCCGGAAGUUUGACUCGCAACGCAUGCGACAGACUACAGUAUCGCCAUGCUUGAUAUCCUGCUGUCAGAUCGAUCGGGUCUGCUAAUUCAUGGCUAAUAACUGCCAGUGGCGUCCUAUUGGAAAAUUUGAAAAAAUUCACAAUAUCCCCUUUUCACGCUGUCAGCCUCGACCCUGCACCUUUAUACCCACAUGAGACAUAUGCACCACGGCAAAGCACACUUGGACAGAUGCAAUCCGCGUGCAGCGUUAUACAUUUGCAACAGGAUUGCUGCUAGCGAAGAACAGAGUGUGGUGUAUUGUAGUAGCCUAAUCCGAUUACAUGGACCAUUGAAGUCGCAAGUGUGAUCUUCUAAAAGGGGCUAACGUAAUGCGCUUGUUAAACGUUGAAGAGAGAUCAAUAUUUUCUAUGGUGAAGGGAAAGGAAAGAGAGAGAGAGAGAGAGAGAGACUGAGAGAAAGUGCAACACAAUACAAUGCAACCCUACAGCCAGAGGAUUUUUUUCCAUUAAUCCCCAAUGAGUACUCAUGGUCGGUAAGGAUCUACAAAAAUCAGUAAUACGGAUGAUAUUCAUUCAAGAGCAUCCAUUGAGUGGUUAAGUAAUCGAAGGUAGUUGGACAGUUGUUCAAAUUCUAUAAAAUAUUUUUCCUCCUCGUACGCACGUGCGUGCGGCCGCUGUUAGGCAGUCGGACUGGUGUCUGAAAAGUAACGAUAUACGAAGGAGAGAAAAAAAACGAAGGGCUGGUUGGUGCAGAAACGUUUAAAUAAAGGGGCCCUCUGUGCAUACAGACGUCUAAUAAAUGGGCAACGGGAUCUUGAAUUAUGGGCAAACAUCCCGGCCUAGUGCCUAAUGCAAUUAUUGCUUUUAGAAUAUUGCCUCCAUUUACGUAUUGAAUUUUAAUUAAGUUUCUCAGGGACUACCCGCGGCGCGAUUAAGCGUACAUCUAUUUAUAGAUAAGUAGGACAGGGACAGGGUGACUGUGAGAGAUUUUCUUUUUUCACCCUAUACAGUCAACCUCACCGAUAUCGGAAAUUUACAUGGACAGGUUAUAAGUUCUGGAAACCUCAACCUCAUCUUGUCAAACUUACUGCAAGCGCAAACGAACACACGAUGUGGAAGAAAAAAGUUAUCCUGAUGUCAUGUCCAUGGCGAUUCUUUCUGAAGGAAACUCCCGGAAUUCUGGCGUCCGCCUCUGGAGAUCUGGACACCCUCCAACGGCUAUCUGGGGAAUCAAUGCCGGAUUUUGGGAAUGCCUGGAGAUAUCGAAGGAAGUCAAAUACGAUAUAAGGAUUACACAAGGAAACUAUACGAGAUAUUAUCAAUAUUAUCAACGAUGCUACAGCUGAAAGGGAAUUUUAUAAAUAUAUCAAAGUGAGCAACAGUCUACGGAAGCCUCACUCGAGCAAAGACAUACACGGACCCUUCGUAAUUGUACUAAAUAAAUGGUGACUGUCUCGACGUCUCAAGAGUUUCGCACACUAAAGUCAAUCGCUCGUUCUACCAGUGACGUAUAGUUGUGAUAAGCUGAGCAAAUGUAGCGAAUACAUGAAAAACACUGCCAUAAGGUGCAUCCACGAGGCGGAUCGUGCACUUAUGUCCAAAGUGCAGUAUUACGGCUCAAUAUAUUUAUUAUAUUUGCGCACAACUGUGAUACGUAUAAUUUGACGUAGCGUAAUAAUUUGGUACGCGUUGCGCAAUAUGCUUCGUAUUCUGUGCGCACUAUACCAUGGUAUAGUAUAUACAUAUAGUAGCAUUAUAGUAGCCCUCGUAACUCCAGGCUUCUGUUAGGGAUGAAGUUAGUCGAGCGAGCUGGGAGAAUUAUUAGCCUGCGGAACCUGCGGAAGGGUAAAUUUGACAGAUGCACCAGGGAUAGGCAGUGCAUAUAUGCACACGUGUGUAUCGAUCGCGAUGCAUUUCCCCUCGAUGAUAACAGUCAUUAGCAGUCAUGUAGGACAGAGUAUAUUGCUGGGUAAAUUACAAUCCGUGAAAAUUCUUUGAUCCUACUGUAUAUCGUACGGCUAUUGCAGUUGACUGUGAGAAAAUAUUAAAACGCUUGGCUUUAACUUUUUUUUUUAAUCACUCUUUCUGUAUUUUGUUGCUUUAAUCAGUUUUCUCUGUUUCGCACCAUUCACGCGGCGAUAUUUCAGUCGGCCUAUAAAAUGCGAAUAGGAUAUUCGUAUAUUUCGUCACGCAUACCCUCGAAACCGAUAAGCAAUAUUUCACGCUUUACGUUUAUUGGCUGCAAUAUACUGUGGUCGUCCAUGGGCAUCCGUAUUCCCAAUAGGUUUUUGCCUUUCUAGUUAUUAAACUGGAAUACACCAUUUUUUUUUACAAACAGCCACUACUAUUAAUCUAGUUACAGACUGGUUGUAUAUAUAU